Molecule: ribosomal RNA, 708 nt
Filed under: Hanumanus cf. senilis MSL2007
Lineage: Eukaryota; Metazoa; Arthropoda; Insecta; Coleoptera; Ptinidae
Description: eukaryotic LSU rRNA
Rfam family: Eukaryotic large subunit ribosomal RNA
Source: RNAcentral
GACCCGUCUUGAAACACGGACCAAGGAGUCUAGCAUGUGCGCGAGUCGUUGGGAUAUAAUUAAACCUAAAGGCGUAAUGAAAGUGAAAGCCCGCUUCGCGCGGACCUAGGGAGGAUGAGCGAUCGCGUCGGCGAUGCGUCGUCGGCGUCCGAUCGCUCCGCACUCCCGGGGCGUCUAUUUCUCAUUGCGAGAAGAGGCGCACCAAGAGCGUACACGCUGGGACCCGAAAGAUGGUGAACUAUGCCUGGUCAGGACGAAGUCAGGGGAAACCCUGAUGGAGGUCCGUAGCGAUUCUGACGUGCAAAUCGAUCGUCGGAACUGGGUAUAGGGGCGAAAGACUAAUCGAACCAUCUAGUAGCUGGUUCCCUCCGAAGUUUCCCUCAGGAUAGCUGGCGCUCGCUACGUGCGAGUCUCAUCCGGUAAAGCGAAUGAUUAGAGGCAUUGGGGUCGAAACGGCCUCAACCUAUUCUCAAACUUUAAAUGGGUGAGAUCUCCGGCUUGCUUGAACUAUUUUAUGUGAAGCCGCGAGAUUUCGGAUCAGAGUGCCAAGUGGGCCAUUUUUGGUAAGCAGAACUGGCGCUGUGGGAUGAACCAAACGCGGAGUUAAAGCGCCUAAAUCGACGCUUAUGGGAUACCAUGAAAGGCGUUGGUAACUUAAGACAGCAGGACGGUGGCCAUGGAAGUCGGAAUCCGCUAAGGAGUGUGUAA